CUAAGGAUAUUACGGAAUGACCAUUAGGUCAUGGAAUAACGGAGACAUAUUGUAUUCAGUUUUGAAUGUUUAUAACAUUCAACUUAAGAAUGGGCCUAUAGCUCAGCUGGUUAGAGCGCACGCCUGAUAAGCGUGAGGUCGAUGGUUCGAGUCCAUUUAGGCCCACCAUUUUUAAUUGCACAUUGAAAACUAGAUAAGUAAGCAAUAGAUUUCACCAAGCAAAAAACCGAGUGAAUUUCUAACGAAAUUCAACAAGCUUAAUAAUCGCGCGUCGUCUUUAUAGACGACAUCACAGAUUAAUAACAGUUAUUUUCUUAAACGUUAUGUAUAAGGAAAUAUA
Molecule: unclassified non-coding RNA, 340 nt
Filed under: uncultured bacterium
Lineage: Bacteria
Description: 16S-23S ribosomal RNA intergenic spacer
Rfam family: tRNA (bases 92-165)
Source: RNAcentral